RNAcentral lists this ribosomal RNA (502 nucleotides) under Hemiergis millewae. RNAcentral's name for it is "partial 16S ribosomal RNA". It matches the Rfam family "Bacterial large subunit ribosomal RNA", at positions 1842 to 2594 of the family's 2925-position model. Lineage: Eukaryota; Metazoa; Chordata; Lepidosauria; Squamata; Scincidae. The record is from RNAcentral.
AGUAUUAAAGGUCCUGCCUGCCCAGUGAACAUCUUUAAACGGCCGCGGUAUUCUAACCGUGCAAAGGUAGCGUAAUCAUUUGUCUUCUAAAUAAAGACCUGUAUGAAUGGCUAAAUGAGGAUAACCCUGUCUCCUACAGCCCAUCAGUGAAACUGAUCUUCCAGUCCAAAAGCUGGGAUAUUAACAUAAGACGAGAAGACCCUGUGGAGCUUAAAAUUACCUACUAAUACCUAAAGUAACUAGUAUAAAAUUUUAAGUUGGGGCGACUUCGGAAUAAAACAAAACUUCCGAGCACAGAACCACCACUUCUAACCAAGGCAAACAAGCCAAAGAAAAAGUUGACCCAGUCACACUGACCAACGAACCAAGUUACCCCAGGGAUAACAGCGCUAUCUUCUUCGAGAGUCCAUAUCGACAAGAAGGUUUACGACCUCGAUGUUGGAUCAGGGCACCCCAAUGGUGCAACCGCUAUUAAAGGUUCGUUUGUUCAACGAUUAACAGC